AACGAACGCUGGCGGCAUGCCUAACACAUGCAAGUCGAACGAGACCUUCGGGUCUAGUGGCGCACGGGUGCGUAACGCGUGGGAACCUGCCCUUAGGUUCGGAAUAACUCCCCGAAAGGGGUGCUAAUACCGGAUAAUGUCUUCGGACCAAAGAUUUAUCGCCUUUGGAUGGGCCCGCGUUGGAUUAGCUAGUUGGUAGGGUAAAAGCCUACCAAGGCGACGAUCCAUAGCUGGUCUGAGAGAAUGAUCAGCCACACUGGGACUGAGACACGGCCCAGAAUCCUACGGGAGGCGGCAGUGGGGAAUAUUGGAAAAUGGGCGAAAGCAUGAACCAGCAAUGCCGGGUGAGUGAUGAAGGCAUUAGGGUUGUAAAGCUCUUUUACCCGGGAUGAUAAUGACAGUACCGGGAGAAUAAGCUCCGGCUAACUCCGUG
RNAcentral lists this ribosomal RNA (433 nucleotides) under uncultured bacterium. RNAcentral describes it as "partial 16S ribosomal RNA". It matches the Rfam family "Bacterial small subunit ribosomal RNA", at positions 29 to 507 of the family's 1533-position model. The record is from RNAcentral.